UUCAAAGAAAACAUUAGAAGCAGAAGCCAUUUCAUUCCAAAACUUCCAAGAAUCCAGCAAAAAUUUCGUUCAUAAAAGUUUAAAGAAGCAGGAACAAAUCUCGUUCAACAAUUUCAAAAAAGCAGAAGCUUAAUCCGAUUUUUUGGGGUUCUAAAUUUAAUCCACGAAGGUUUCCAACAGAAUAUUAUACGGAGUUUUUCUUACUCCAGGUAUGUUAAGACCAUCAUUUCUUUCUUUUGGUAUGGUCCAAAUUAUACCGAAUAAAUGAGCAAAUGCACAGUUUCCAUAAAUUACUCUAUUCAUAAAAAUAUUAGGGAUGUCUAUAUUCUUGAUUUCCCAUGUGAAUUAUUAUUAUCUUCUGUGUAUGGGUCUCAACCAACUUAGCGGUUACGUUGCAUCAAAGUUGAAGACGUUUUAGUUAAACAAUAACUAGGGAGAGUGUAAAAAUAAUUGAGUUAAGGAUGACUGAUCAAUAAACUUUUGGUUGUUUGAGGAUUAAAUUCAGGGAAAGGAUAGUACUAGUACUAGAAAAUGGACAAAAUUCCAAACGGUCAAAGCUUUAGUUUGCAAUGUUUAAGGGUGGAUUUGGCUUCUGUUGUUGGUUGCUAAUUGAUAGCAUGAUUGUGGAAUCUAUUAUCAUGAACAUAUCUUGAAUACAUGAGCUACUACAUUGAAACGAGGGCAUGAAACGUCAUACGCAGUUCAAAAAGUUUAUCCGGAAGGAAUAUUGAGAUCAUUACGUAAUUUUCAUACAUUUCACCCAUUUAUAUAUGUGUAUUGACCCAUGACCAGAUGACGUUAUAUAUACGUAUAUAUAUAAAUAUAUGUAUAUGGGAUAUGUGAAAAGGUUAUAGUGUUACAUUAUAUACGCACCACCACAUGAUCAGCUGAUAUAUGUUGAUGAUGUUGCCCACAAUGGCCGAGACGAUAUGAUGGGAUGCCCUCACUGGCUUGAUGACAUUAUGUACACCCAUACCUAUGCAUGACACGACACUUAUACGCAUGUGCAUGACAUUAUAAAUAUUUCAGAAUUUACAAAGUUAUUCAGAUUUAUAGAUGGAUUUCUUUAUUCCAUGUUUCAUCUAUGUCAUUUACGUACUGAUUUUCAUGCCUUACAUACUCAGUACAUUUUUCGUACUGAUGCCCUAUUUCACGGGGCCUGCAUUUCAUGCCCGCAGGUGCAGGUAGGCAAGCUGAUGGUCCCUUUCUUAG
RNAcentral lists this long non-coding RNA (1212 nucleotides) under Nicotiana tabacum (common tobacco). RNAcentral's name for it is "long non-coding RNA (NTAB_LNC013856)". Lineage: Eukaryota; Viridiplantae; Streptophyta; Magnoliopsida; Solanales; Solanaceae. The record is from RNAcentral.